This 497-nucleotide ribosomal RNA is filed under the name uncultured bacterium. Its description in RNAcentral is "partial 16S ribosomal RNA". It matches the Rfam family "Bacterial small subunit ribosomal RNA", at positions 28 to 507 of the family's 1533-position model. The record is from RNAcentral.
GACGAACGCUGGCGGCGUGCCUAAUACAUGCAAGUUGAGCGAUGAAGAUUGGUGCUUGCACCAAUUUGAAGAGCAGCGAACGGGUGAGUAACGCGUGGGGAAUCUGCCUUUGAGCAGGGGACAACAUUUGGAAACGAAUGCUAAUACCGCAUAACAACUUUAAACAUAAGUUUUAAGUUUGAAAGAUGCAAUUGCAUCACUCAAAGAUGAUCCCGCGUUGUAUUAGCUAGUUGGUGAGGUAAAGGCUCACCAAGGCGAUGAUACAUAGCCGACCUGAGAGGGUGCGCGGAGUAGCUGGGACGGGAAGACGGCCCAACACCCUGCGGGUGGGAGCCGUACGGAAUCUUUAGGGAUGGCAGAAGGGCUGAACGAGGAACGCCGCGUGAGUGCAGAAGGUUGUCGGAUCGUGAAACUCUGUUGGUAGGGAAGAACGUUAGUGUGUGUGGAAAGCGCAGCUAGUGACGGUAACUGCACAAGAAGCGACGGCUAACUACGUG